This 814-nucleotide unclassified non-coding RNA is filed under the name Hevea brasiliensis (rubber tree). Lineage: Eukaryota; Viridiplantae; Streptophyta; Magnoliopsida; Malpighiales; Euphorbiaceae. The record is from RNAcentral.
AAAAAAAAAGAAAGAAAGAAACCAAUCUUUGAUUUUAAUAUUUAUGUCCAGAAACUUUAAAAUUCAAGCCCUAGCAAUUUUAAACAUUUUAGACAGAUAAUUGUGGAAUCAAAUUACUAUUAAUUACUACUCCUAGCAAAACGCAAGUUUUCUUCAAAAUUCAUGUCACUAGUAGAUAUAAUUAAUCAAGUGACAACAAAAGAAGUGAAGGUGGAAAGCAAAAGGAAUUGUCACUUAUCCCCAAUAUCUCUAUUAGCACUAUCAAGGUAUUUUUGCAUUUAUAAUUCUUUGUCUUAGAAUUAUUAACUCUCUUCUUCUCCUAGUCUUCAUGGUACAUUGGAUGAUUUGAACUACUUGUUCAAAACUUAUACUGGAUGUAGUGAUCCUCAAUUUGACUAAACAGUUUAUGAACUGAAAUUGAUGUUGCAUACUCCAAGAAUCCAGUACUUUCACUCAUAUUUGCAUUUUGGUAUUUGUAUUCCGAAAAUCGAAUAUCCUAAGUUGAGGGGAGCGAUACCUGCUUAGAUAGAUUAGGUGAGAGUGAGAUAUGAUACCCCAUUUGAAGCACAAAUGUGAAAAAUCAAUUCCAGCAGAAAUUUUCAUAGUUUUUCUUUGAAACCUACUUAGGUUGACCAUAACAAAGGUGUGAGUUCUGGAAAGAGUUAAUAAAUGCAACCUUACUCUUCUUUGCAGAGAGACUGCUUUUGUGGCUUUAACAUGUGACCUCAGGUCACAAAUGAAGUAACUUUACCGUAAUACCAAAGUCACCCUCUACUAAGUUCACCAUAGGAAAAAAAAGUUAAAAAGAAAAGAA